CACGUGGGGGACGAGCGUUGUCCGGAUUCAUUGGGCGUAAAGCGCGCGUAGGCGGCUCGGAAAGUCGGUCGUGAAAUCCCGGGGCUCAACCUCGGAACUGCCUUUGAUACUGCAAAUCUCGAGUCCGGAAGAGGUGAGUGGAAUUCCUAGUGUAGAGGUGAAAUUCGUAGAUAUUAGGAAGAACACCAGUGGCGAAGGCGGCUCACUGGUCCGGUACUGACGCUGAGGUGCGAAAGCGUGGGGAGCAAACAGG
This 253-nucleotide ribosomal RNA is filed under the name uncultured bacterium. RNAcentral describes it as "partial 16S ribosomal RNA". It matches the Rfam family "Bacterial small subunit ribosomal RNA", at positions 524 to 776 of the family's 1533-position model. The record is from RNAcentral.